AGUGAAGAAAAUUACUGAACUAUCAUUUCCAAUGCUUUCUCAAAAUAACUGACAAACAUAUUCAUAACUGAAGCAGGAACGCAGAAAAAAAACAUGUUUCUUUCUUUUUGGUCGCAUUGAAUUUAAAUUUUCAGACUGAUCUACGUAAAAGUUUACCUUUAUUGACAUAGUGGAAGCAAUUCUUCCUCACCCUAAGCUUGCAGGUAUUUUUUUUUUUUUGCUUUCAUUGCAUGCCUUUCUUUCUCUCCUGUUGCUGUUCAGUACUUCACCGACAUCGCGAUAACAUUUUUUCCCGCAAGCUAGACGAACAUCCGGUUACUCUACUGCGAAACGACGCGUGAAGAUAGGAAAACCCUGGUGAUUACAUUGUGUUGAGUCUUGUGCUAUCUGUGUGCGUACAGUAUAUAAGAAAAGUCGAAUUCUCGCGGAGCAACAAAUCACCAGCCAAUCACCAGGCAGGACGAGAAAGCGUUCAUUCACCAUGAAGACUUGUUUGUGGCUCGCCCUGCUAUCUGUCGUCACCGUAGCCUGUGAGUCUGGCACAUGCAUUAAUUCCACGCGUUGCAUCUAAUGAAAGCUCGCUCAACUAACAUUAUUUAGGCACGCUAGGACACAUAAGGAGCUUGGCUGGUGCAAACAAUUGAAGCUUCGUCUAAGAUUGUGAAAUCGCAAAUGACUCUGAGAAAGUCGGAAUAAAUUGCACCAGCGUAUCUCACGUUGUAAGAAAAUGUUCUCUUUGUCAAGUUGUAGUGAUCGUGUUUUAAACGAUAUGCCAUUUUUUGCACGUUAACUUAAACAUCAAGCUGAAGAAAGAAUCGAAGCCACUAGGGUCUUGUGCAGCAUAGGUGAAGCUCAUUUGCAAGCGUACAACACGAAACUUCACUGACGUCUUGGUCACUCUGUUUACGGCGUUAUCUAUAGGUUAUGAAUCCACCCAAAUAAACAUCUCUUUGAUUUUCAAGUCAUUGCCCUAACAGCGGCGAAAACAAAGACGCCGAAUCAGAUCAUAUUUCCAUGCACGUGUAAUAGAACCUUAAUUAUGUUUCACUUGGCAAUACCACAACAUUAUUUUACAUUAGCUUUUAGAUAUUUUCAAAUAAAAAUGAUCCUAAUUCAUUUACUUUGUUCUUUUUUCAUAUGAAACGAAGAUGGCGCAACACUAGUGCCUCAGGUGGGCUUGGGUAAGCCUGUUCUUCCUAAAGAAGCUGAAGCAGAUGCACUUGAGAAAGCAGGGAAGGCCUUGGAGACAGUGGGACGACUACUGCAGGGCGAAAAUGUCGCCUUAAACGAGGAAGUGCAAGAACAUUUGGUCAAUGCUCUUCGGGUUGCGUCUAACAAUGGUGAAGUCUUCAGCGAGGAUGACUCUGAGUACUUCCUGCCAAUCAUCAUUCGUGGUGUUGUUCAAGGUGCCAUUGCCCACGUUGUCCACAAGAAGUUGAACAAGGGCUAAGGACACUGCCAGUGAAUAACUACAACGCAUUAACGACAAUGUGUUAAAAAAACACUACCAGGAAUUACGCAACGAGUUACUGGUUCAUCUUCUCUAUAGAGUAACAUAUGGCAUAAAAUAAAGCUAUGUUAGUGACGUGA
Dermacentor andersoni is the source of this 1590-nucleotide non-coding RNA. Lineage: Eukaryota; Metazoa; Arthropoda; Arachnida; Ixodida; Ixodidae. The record is from RefSeq and is a predicted model, not a curated record.